AUUUACAUAUCUUAUAUAGAGUAUUAUAUUGAAGCUAUAAUUGAGAUCUUGUCUGUAAAUA
RNAcentral lists this transfer RNA (61 nucleotides) under Hyalella nefrens. Its description in RNAcentral is "tRNA-Phe". The record is from RNAcentral. Lineage: Eukaryota; Metazoa; Arthropoda; Malacostraca; Amphipoda; Hyalellidae.